Molecule: long non-coding RNA, 826 nt
Filed under: Homo sapiens (human)
Lineage: Eukaryota; Metazoa; Chordata; Mammalia; Primates; Hominidae
Description: HSALNT0407854
Source: RNAcentral
GACGGAGAGGCGGGGGAGGGCGGGAGGGCAGGAGGGCGGGUGGGUGCGGGAACACAGACCCGAUGCGCGAGCGGGAGCUGGCGCAGGGGAUCCGAACUGGCGAGUUCAAGUCACCUGGGAUGGCAAGUGCUGCCAGGAGCGCGCCGAGAACAGAAGUGUCAGCAGAGGACUGUAAGUGCUAUGUGAUUGGACGACGGUGGCCAUAGAAUUUCACCUGCCCAGCACGUAUUCUCUCAUCCUCUCCUCCUCUGCCUUCUUUGGGAGGGAGAAAUCAGAAGGAGUGGGGAUGCAGUUCAGAGAGCAGAGGAGAAGAGAAGAAAAGAAGGAAGAAGGAAGAGGACUAGGGUUGGGUGGGGGGGGAGGACACCAAUGGGAAGAGGGACAGAUCAACUCUAUACACAAAAGUAAAUCAAAACACCAAAAACAGGGGUCUAUGUAAAGAAGCCUCUUCCCGUGAAUUGCUCGUUGCAUAGCUGCAGGGAGGGUGUUUAGGGGCAUAGAGAAUGAAAACAUACCUGUAUUUUGGUGUAGGGAAAUUGUUUCUGUCAAUUCACACCGUCCACACACCACCUCCCACCCCAACCCCGCCACUACCAAAUUCCUCUAAAUAAAAAUAAUUAUGAGAUACAGGCCAACAAAAACGUCAGCGUUAGGCUGUUAUUUAGAGAGAAUUGGAAAGCGUUUGAAUGUGGCCCUGUUGUUUAAUAAACGAUAACAAUGAUUACUAAGUUGUCCUGAGUCAAUACAACAAAUUUAGCAAAUGGUCCUUUGGGUCCUUAUAAAGUGAAGAGUUGACGGAGACAGAUUUGUAUAUGGGGCAGGGAUG